RNAcentral lists this ribosomal RNA (208 nucleotides) under Meiacanthus grammistes (striped poison-fang blenny). RNAcentral's name for it is "partial 16S ribosomal RNA". The record is from RNAcentral. Lineage: Eukaryota; Metazoa; Chordata; Actinopteri; Blenniiformes; Blenniidae.
GCCCAUCAGCUAGCUCACACACUAAAGUAAAUAUUCCCUAUUUAUAUCCUAGUAUAACCUAAACCUAAAAAACAAAACAUUUAACCGUUUUAGUAAAGGCGAUUGAAAUAAGAAAUGGAGCUAUAACAAAGUACCGCAAGGGAAAGCUGAAAAAGAAAUGAAAAAAAUCAGUAAAGCACAGAAAAGCAAAGAUUUUUCCUUGUACUUU